RNAcentral lists this long non-coding RNA (25542 nucleotides) under Cucumis sativus (cucumber). Its description in RNAcentral is "long non-coding RNA (CSAT_LNC000826)". The stretch from base 12786 to 12857 matches the Rfam family "tRNA". The record is from RNAcentral. Lineage: Eukaryota; Viridiplantae; Streptophyta; Magnoliopsida; Cucurbitales; Cucurbitaceae.
CUCUAAAACUUUAUCUUUUGGUUUCCUUUUGCUGGUGAGUUUGGGCUUAGCUUCGGCGGCCCGAUCUCUUCUUUCUUACGAUAUUCCUCCUCAUCGAUCUGGAUACGAUAAUUAUGAUCAUCCUGUAGUUAACCCUAAAGUAGGAUACGAACAUGACCGUCGUGAUGGAUACUACCAUGACCGUGACCAUCAUGAUGCACCUUAUGGUGGUGGUGCUGGUGGAGGAUAUGGAGCUGGAGCUGGAGCUGGCUCAUCUCUUGGAGGCUCUGGAUAUGGAAGUGGAGGAGGUGGUGGUUCUGGAUAUGGAGGUGUAGGAAACCACGAGGUUGGUUAUGGUAGUGGUGGAGGGGGUGGAUAUGGAGCUGGAGUUGGCUCUGACCUUGGUGGUAGCGGAUACGGAAGCGGUGGUGGUGGAGGCAGUGGAGGAGGAUACGGUGAUUUAGGAGGACGUGGAAAAGGGUACGGUAGCGGUGGAGGUGGAGGAAGUGGAUAUGGAGGUAGAGGAGACCAUGGAGUUGGUUAUGGAAGUGGUGGAGGUGGAGGAUAUGGAAGUGGAGUAGGUGGUGGUGCAGGAGUGGUAGACCAUGGUGUAGGUUAUGGGAGUGGAGGAGGAGGUGGGGCUGGUAGUGGUUAUGGUGGUUCCAAAGGAUAUGGAGGUGGAAGCGGCGGCGGUGGGGGAGCCGGUUAUGGUGGUGGAGCACAUGGAAGUGGAUAUGGAAGUGGUGGUGGAGCUGGAAGUGGUGAAGAAGGAGGAUAUGAUGGUGGAUAUGCACCGUAAACAAAGAAAAGAAAAGAAAAAGCUCAAAGUUUUAUGGCUAAAAUGAGAAUGCUUACCCUAAUAUCAUCAAUGUGUGUGUGUGUUAGCAAAAAAAAAAAAUAAAAGAAUUUGGGUAAGAAAUGUUAUAUUAAUUAUCUUUGAGCUUUUAAGUAAUUUGAAUGUAAUAUAAUAUAUAUAUAAAAAAAGCUAAUCCAUGUGUUCCAAAGUGAACCAACAUGAAGUAUAUUUUCUCCCUUUGUCAUCAUGAUCAUCUUAAACUUGUGGUUAUUAUGUGGGCUCUCAUUAUUAUUCCAAGAUAGCAACGUCGGGAUAUUCAAAUAUUUUUCAUAUGUAAUGUCUUAAGACUAAAUCACUAUGAUCUAUAUGCUUUAAUUAAGUUCAAAACUAUUUUGGAAGCAUUAUGAUUAAUAUAUUGAUUACUUAAAUACUAUUAUAUGGUUUUCAAGGUAACUUGAUGUUGUUAAUAAAAGAAAUCUUUAAUAUUUAAUCAGUCCUUUCUCUUAAAAUUUAGUAAAAAUAAAUACUAAAAUGGUAUGAUGUUUUAUGGUUGGAUUUGGGGUAUGUGUUUUGGCUUGUCCCUCUAGUUGUGACUUGUUCAAAAUAAGUGUACAAUCAAAUUCACUUGGGUUAUUAAAGACAAUUGAUAAACAAAAAUUGCCAAAACGAUAGAGCAUAACUAUUUAAUCGGUAUAAAACUUGUACAAUCCAUUAAUCAUAAUAUACUUUUUCUAAUUGAUCUCUAAUUGAUCGUACAUACUAGUUAGUGUCGAUAAAAAACUCAAUUUGACGUAUAAAUAUUUGUUUGUUGUAAAUGAACAUCUAAGUAUAUUCUUGAUUAAUUAUUCUUAUACUAAGAGUAACAUUGACCCCUCUAUUCUUUAGUAUUUGGUUAAAAGAAUAAAAAAUUAGUAAGUGAUGAAUCUUAGUGUGCUAUAGGUUGAUCAACCAAUUAAAAUUAGUCGUUUCAAGCAAUACUUUCGAAAAAAUUCAUUAAAUAGGAGUUAUUUAAACUAUCAACCCUGAGUUUUUAUACAUUACAAUAAAUUUAAUCUUUGAUGUCGGUCAAAAACUAAUAUAUAGGAGUACAAUAUAGAUCACCAGAUCGAUAUGGAAGACAAUGUUAUGGAAGAUGUUCAAUGUUAAUCACUUUUAUGUUCGUUUUGGUCUUGGCAUUAUAAAUAAUUUAAAUGGUAGUUUUUGCUCACACUACAAAUGUGUUAGACUAUUAGUCAUCAAAUAGUUUGAAUUCCUUGUAAAAAAAAUUAGUUGAAACAAAAAUAAAUAAUUAUCUUUGCAUUAAAAUAAAAUAAAAUAAAUAAAAUAGAUUUUUUUGUGAAUAUUUUGGUCAGGUGUUCUAUUUUUUAUAAUUUCCCAUAAAAAAUAUGUGUAAUAAGUUAUUUAAAAUACUAAUAGUAUUAAUUAGUUUACUUAAUAAAUCAAUUAUAUCUCUAAAUGAUAUUUUGGUAGAUUUAAAAAUAUUUUGAUUCAUUUUGCUAUAUUUGAAAAAGAAACCAUAAAAUUCUACUUCAUAUUCGCAAUAGAUCAUGGUAAACUUAGAUAGGCAUCUAUUAUUUAUAUAUAUGGUGAUAGAUACUUAUGUAUCUAUAUCCAAGCCCAUCAUCUAAAUAUUUUCAAAUGGUUUUCAAUUGAAAACAAAUUUCUCAAUAAGUAAUUAAAAAUUAGGUUUUUAUUCACUAAUAAUUAUUAUUUAAAUGUGAACAAAUAAAGUUUAGCUCGUAUAUAAUGGGUCAGUAGGUACACUCGGAUAUCUCCACUAGAUGGACACCCCUUAGCACCCUCAUUAUCUCCGUUUCAUUAAUAUAAAAAAUCGAAUUGAAUACACGAGAAGUAAAGAGAACAACCCAAACAAAAAACAAAGAACUAGAGACAAGCCCAAAACAAGUACAAACAAUUAGAAAGCAUGAAGAAAUUAGUGCUUUAAACCCCUAAACCGCAAUGUUACUUAACAAAUAAAAUUGUUAUUUAAAAGUUUGAAGUUAUUAUUGAGUUUUAUUUUAGCAAAUUAAUCAUCUCUUAAAUUAAAAAUCUCAAACAUACAUGGAAGAUAAGAUCAAUUAAGCACAUGUUGGAUGAAUUUUGUUCGAAUAAAAAUUAAAACAACUUAUUGUUAUCAACUUAUAAGUUAUAUAUAUGAUGAUGGUGGUGCAGAGGUGAAAACUUAGUUUGAGAUCUCUCCCUACAUCUACUAUGCUUUUACGUUCUAAUGUAUUUUGUGGUAAAAAAAUCAAUUAUAAACUUUUAAGAAAAAUUUUCAUAUGUUAUUAUUUUUUCUCUAAAUUCUAAACUAGCCAGGUUAUCAACAAAACAAAUACCACUAGAGUUUAAGGGAUUAGGAAGCAUAUAUGAAUAUCUCAACUUGGUUAACACGUCGUUUUUAAACAUUUCUCAUCAGGUUGCUGUUUCAAAAGUGAUGCACUGAUGUGAAGAAACAUAUAGGAGAAAAGUGAGAUGGAAAGUUAGUAUAUUGGACAGAGUACAUAGUACAUAGUAGGUUUAUUAAUUAAUUUAUCCAAAUGAUAAUCUCAUUACCAAGCACUAUGUGAUUUAGAUAUGAAUAAAAUGUGAUCAUUUUUCCACCACUAUUACAUAGCAAAUGGGAAAACAUCUCAUUGUGGUUUGAUAUUUUAAAAAACAAUUAUGGUAAUGCAAGUCGUCUCAUAUCCCAUAAUAUUAUCUCAGUCUCAUGGCGACUGAUACAAAAGGACAAAACUAACUUCAUUAAAAUAUGUUCUCUCCUUCCUACACUUUUUAGGUAUAUAUCAUUCAUAUAUUAAUCACUGCAAUUGGUUAGGUGGACUACAAAAACAUAGAUAUAGUCCGAGAUAAAAUUAAGUACGGUUAUAUUUUACGAGACUUUUGAUGUGUUUGAUUACAUUUUCAUGUGUUUCUUUUAGAAAAUAAGUUAUUUUGAAAAAACUAAAGUAUUUUAAACAAUUUUUAGAACAAUCAAUUUCUUGAAAAAUAUUUUUUUCUUAAUUCAAUCUAAGAUGGAUCCUCAAAAUAUUUGAGGGUAGUUCUUUUAUAAAAGUAUUUACACUAGGUUGGUUUAUGAAGUAAAAUAUUGAUCGGUAAAUUCAAGUUUUAAAUUAGAAAAAUUGAAUAUUUUUAAAAAUAGAAGAAUUGGCUAACUAUUUACAACUCAUACCAAAAUUUUAAUACAAAUCCAAAGUAUCUAUUUUUUAUUUUAUUAUUAUUAUUAUUUUUUGCUAUAGGAUGUAAAUACUAUCUGUUUUCUUGUAAAUUUCUCUUACAAUCCUCUACGAGAAAGUCUUAAUUUUUAUAUUUAUGAUUUAUAUUAUAAUAUAAUUAUUUGGAACCAUAUAAUAAAUAAAAGGAAAAUUGUAAAACAUAACAUUUGACAAAAUAUCUUCGUAGAAAAAUUUGUUGUGUAAUCAAUUUUGAGGUUUUGUUAUAUGGAGCGUAAAUAUUUUGUCAAAUUUUCUAUUUGUGAAAAAAAAAACUUAUAGGUAAUUUGAAAGGUAAGUGAUCUUGUUUAAGAUCCAAAUUUCUUUUAUGAAAGUUUAAUUUAGAAUACAUACGAGAAAAAUAGAUUAAUCUAGAAUGAUAAAUGUAAGAUAGGUUUGGGAAGUACCAAUAAAUUUUAGGCAUGUGAUAGACUAUAACUGUGAAGAUAUAUAGUCUAUUGCUAUCUUGAAUGGCUCAUUCUUGUUUGAAAAUGACCUUAUUUAAAACACAACUUUUUUAUAAAAGAAAAUCCCUUGCAUCAUUCAAACAAUCUUACAAGAUCGUAUUAGUGGAAGAUGAGAUAGAAUUCUGACAUGUGUAUUAUUAGUAUACUUGAAUAGUUUCUUAUCUAACUUUUGAGCAAGUAGUGGAGAAGCUGAUCAUGAACCCUAAACCCACCGUAUCAUUCACUAUAUAAAGGAGAUCACUACAUGCAUUCUAAGGCAUCCCUUCUCCAAAUGGCUAUCUUUAGAACUUUCUCUUUCGGUUUUCUUUUGUUGGUGAGUUUAGGCUUAGCUUCUGCGACCAGAAGUCUUCUCACCUAUGAUCCACCACAUCACUCUGUAUAUGAUGAUCAUAACACUAAAGUAGGUUACGGACGUGACCAUCAUGAUCAACCUUAUGGUGGUGGUGUUGGUGCUAGUGGAGGAUAUGGAGCCGGAGCUGGCUCUGGAUAUGGAGGUGUAGGAUACGAACAUGACCAUCAUGAUGGAUACGAACGUGAUCAUGAUCGAUCUUAUGGUGGUAGUGCUGGUGGAGGAUAUGGAGUUGGAGCUGGCUCCUCUCUUGGAGGCUCUGGAUAUGGAAACGUAGAUCAUGGGGUUGGUUAUAGCAAUGGUGGAAGUGGUGGAUAUGGAGCUGGUGUUGGCUCUGACCUUGGUGGUAGCGGAUAUGGAAGCGGUAAUGGCGGAGCAAGUGGAAGUGGAAAUGGUGAUUUAGGAGGACGUGGAAAAGGCUACGGUCGCGGUGGUGUUGGAGGAAAUGGAUAUGGAGGUAGAGGAGACCAUGGCCGAGUAGUAGGCCAUGAUGAUGUAGUUUAUGGUGGUUCCAAAGGAUAUGGAGGUGGAAGUGGCGUCGGUGGGGGAGCUGGUUAUAGCGGUGGAGCAAGUGGAAGUGGAUAUGGAAGUGGUGGUGGAGCUGGAAGUGGAAGUGGCUAUGGCGGAAGUGGUGAAGAAGGAGGAUAUGAUGGUGGAUAUGCACCUUAAAUAAAAGGGGCUAAAACAUCAUCUAAAAGCUUAUCGUUAAAACGAUAAUACUUACCUAAAUAUCAAUGUUUGUUAGCAAAAAUAAAGAAUUUAGGUAAGAAUGUUAUGUUCCUCUUUUGAAUUUUAGUAACUUCAAUGAAUGUGAUAUUAUAAAAACUAGCUGUUUCAUGGGGUUCUAAAGACCAACAAACAUGCAUGAAAUACUGAGUUAAUACAACGUACGCCAUUCCAAACGUGCUAUUUUAUGGAUUCCAAAGUUGACUUUGAACUAAGGACUAAAUAAUCCUUUAACACCUUCUAAACACAAAUUAUUUCACAGACGUCAAGAUCAGUUAAUCAAGUUAAAACUUAAUAGGUCAAAUUCAUCAUUCCAAAAUGACUUGUAGAAAAAUUUUGAGACUUAGUUCGAGUAUGUUAAAUUCUAAUGUUACGAAGUUUUCUUAACAAAAUUGAGAAGGAGGUUGGGAUGGUGGAUAUGCACUCAAAAAUUUCAUCUCAAAAGAGAAUUGAGAAACAUACUUUUCAAGUAACAAACCCAAUAUUCAUAUUAAUUGGGCAACAAAAGUAAGGAAAUAGGGGUAAAAAGAGAACAUUGUUUUCUAAAUAAUCUAUGUCGAGGUUUGCUUCUUGGCCAUGAAAUUCGAACCAAUUAUUCAAUGAUAAGCAAAUUUGGAUUAAGUAUGCAUGUGUAAUGUGACAAAAUUAUUCAACCACAUUCACGUUAUUUUGCUUUCCUAAUCAUAUUUAUGAAAUAAGAUGGUUUCAUCUUUCAAAAUCAAUACACAAUUACAAAAGUAGUAAUACUUCUAUCUUAUAAACAAUGUUGAUCUCUUGAAUUUUCCAUGUAUGGAAUUAUCAACAUUCUCCGCAUAUUGUUCUAGGUUAUUUUUUUAACCAGUGUAAUCAACCUCAAACAAAAACAAAAGUGACAAAACCAAGAAAAUAACAAAAUUUUCACUUAAAUAAAAGAGGGAAAAAAAAUAGCACAUCCUAUAAGCCAAAAUAAGGGCGAGGGGUUUAGGGUUUAGGGUUAUUAGACCAAGACUACCAAAAUGUCUAAUGACUUUUAUAACGAAACAUCUAGUUUAGAUUGAUACAUAUGAUAUGUAGCAUCUUCACAGCAUCCAAGAUCAAGAGUCGAUAUAUUAUCAUGAAAAGAAAGUACAAAAGGGAAGUUAGGGAAAAACUUGGAGUCAACGUUAAGAGAACCAUUAAAAGUUUUAGAAGUUCAAUUAAUAUUUGUAAAAUUUUAAGAGCUAAAUUUUUAUAAUCCAACGUUUGAGGUCUAGUAAUUGCAAUUGACCAUCAUACUUCAGGGAUAAUUUUUGAAAAUUUCCUUUUCUAUUAUUAAAUUAUCAAGAAAAAAAAGUUUAAUGACGGUCAAAAUAAUCCCUGGCGUCCAUAUAAUAAUUUUCAAUAACAUUUCACGACACUAAAAAAAAUUGGAACUUUGCUCACAUUUUUCUAAGAAACGUAAAUAUUUUGUCAACUUUACUAUAUAUAUAUUAUUGUUACUCUUUUAAAAACUUAAGUAAUUUUGAUUCGACCAAUUUUUUUUGCUAUCAACUACAAUUGUUAAAAAAUAUAUAUAUACGAAAAAAAAUGGUUAAUUUUCAUUCACAAAAUAUUUAAAAAAGUAAAAUUUUAAAUUUGUCUCGUAUCUUUUGGAAUAAGGUUUGUCUUUAAUUAAGGAAAUUUAAAAGUUGCUAAAACAUAGCUAAAUUAAACAAAAGUUACUUUUUUAAAGAAAAUUUUUUAAAUAACAAAAUUAUUAAAAAUAUAAUUAAAUUAGAAUUUUUGAAUCUAUUAUUGAUAUAAUUAAGAAAAGUCUAUCAACAUAUAUCAAUUCUAAUAUUUUAUUAUAUUUUAAUUCAUUUGGUUAUAUUUAACAACUCAUUCCCACACAAACUAUAAUUCAAAUUAAAAACAUAUUUGAACAAAUAUUUUGUAUAAUUUAAGUGAUGAAUCGCACUAAUAUUGUUAAAAUGUGUUUAAAAUGUGAUACUUUUCCCACCAUAUUUUAUAGCAAAUGGCAGAUAAUUUAAUGUUUCUUUGAAGCAAGAAUUAGGCAAAGAAGCAUAUAUAUAUAUAUAUAUAUAUAUAUAUAUAUAUAUAUAAUAUAUAUAUAAUAUGUAAUUAAAUUUUAUAUUAUAGUUAUGCAAAAUCGUUUCAUAAGCCACUUCAUCUCUCUCUAUUUCAUGGCAUCAAGUAAACAAAAAGGGAAAAAGGGAAAAAGAGACCUAAUAAAAUAUGUGUUCUUUAAUUGGUGGAUUUUUAAUUAGCAUUAUUAAUUAAUCAAUCAUGUAAAUAUCCUACAAAGAAUAUUUGUUCUUAAGAUAAUUCAUUGCAUGAUGAAUCAAAAUUUUAGGUUGGGUGUUCCUGUAUACUUAAAAACAUUAUUGCAUUACCAAAUUAAAUUUAUACAAACCAAACGAUAUCAUUUUGUUCGUAUUAAGUUCGUUUAAGUUUAGAUGGUAUAUGAAAGUUGGUUUGUUAUGUUUAGGUUUAUUAAACAACAUUGUAUUUAGACGAUAGUGUAAACUUUAAGUUGUUAAACAUGUGUUUUAUCUUAGUCUAAUGUCGUCUAAUACAAAUAUAUUAUGAUACUUUUUAAUAUUUAAAAAUAUUUUUAGAAGUUUUAUAAAUUAAAAUAAUUUUUCUAAAAAUUAAGUUUCAUCAUUUUUAAGAGGAGAAAAGACACCCUAAACAUAAAUUAAAGAAAAUAGAAUGAUAUUGUAUUAAUUACAUAAAUUUAAUCAAAAAUUAAGAACUAAAAAUAAAAUUGUUAUCAAAAUGAAAAUUCAUUUUAACAUUCAAACCAUCCAAAAAAAAGAACAUCUAAUUACUCUAUUGUAACAGAAGUUUUAUCCUCUUAAGAAAAAAAUAGUUUAAUGUUAAAAGAGUAUACAAAACGUGUUAAUAAGUACACAACUCAAUUAGCAUAAAGCUUAAAUUUUAUUUAGAUCAAGACUCAAAUCUAUGAGAUCACAGGAUAUUGCAAAUUUAGGAUUUUAGGUUAUCGUUUAAAGUUCUAAAAUAUUGCAAAAUGGUGCAAGUGGGAAGAUGGGAUCCAAAUCAAGUAUGGAUAUGAUUUAGUUCCAAUUAUAAUUUAAGGUUAUAGUUUAAUGAUUUAGUUACAACACUUUAGUGUUUUGCCUCUUGAACUUCCCUUAAGCUAUAAUCCAUAAUUAAUAAUGUUUUUGAGCACGUGCCUUCUCUUUAAUUGCCACUAAGGUACCACACUAUAGAGAAGAGCUAAUGAAUCCUUGUUUUCUAUAUAAGGAGAUGGAUCAAUGCAUUCUAAGCAUAUACUCCUAUCCAUGGCUAUUUCUAGAGUGUUGUGCAUUGGCUUUCUUCUUUUUGUGGGGUUAGGGUUAGCUUCGGCUGCCCGAACUCUUCUUGAUUAUGAUCCACGUGCACGUCGUUAUGAUUACGAUCGUCCUACUCCAAGAGUAGGAUACGAUCCAAGCCAUCGUGAUCAAUCCUAUGAUAAUGUAUAUGGUGGAAGCUCUAGCAGAGGAUAUGGAGCUGGAGACUCUGCUCUUGGAGGUUCGGGACGAUAUGAAGGUGGUGGAGGACGUGAUUACGGACAUGGAGGCCGAAAUGAUGAUCGUGGUGUUGGAUAUGGAGGUCGAAAUGAUGAUCGUGGUGCUGAAUAUGGAGGUAGAAAUGAUGAUCAUGGUGCUGGAUAUGGAAGUCGAAAUGAUGAUCGUGGUGUUGGAUAUGGAAGUCGAAAUGAUGAUCGUGGUGUUGGAUAUGGAAGUCGAAAUGAUGAUCGUAGUGUUGGAUAUGGAGGCCGAAAUGAUGAUCGUGGAGUUGGAUAUGGUAAUGGUGGUGGAUAUGGAGGUGUAGGAGGACAUGGUGAUGGUUAUGGUAACAAUGGUGGUGGAAGCUAUGGAGAUCGUUAUGGCCCUUCUCUUGGAGGUUCAGGAUAUGGAAGUGGAGGAAAAGGAAGUGGCAAUGGCUAUGACGAUCAUUCUCGUGGAAAUGGUGCGCGUGACAAUAGCUAUGGAGAUUCUCAUGGACAUGAAGGACGUGACAGUGGAUAUGGAAGUGGUGGAGGAGUUAGUGGAGGCUAUGGCAAUGGAGGAGUUCAUGGAGGGGAGCAUGAUAAUAGCAAAGGAAGUGGAGAAGAAGGGGGUAGGGACGGUGGAUAUGCUUUCAAAAAUUCCAUCUCAAAGGAGAAUUGAGAACUCUUUUUCAAGUAAUGAACCCAAUAUCAUAUUAUGUUAACAAAAAAAAUAAAGAAUUGGGUAUAAGAGAAUGUUGUUUUCUAAAUUUAUGUUGAAUUUGUUACCAACGAAUGUCAAAUUCGAAUCAAUGGGUACAAUGAUAAUCAAAUUUAGGUUAUGUUUAUUGUGAUAAAUUUAUUGCACUCUUAUUUGUUUUGUUUCUCUAUAUAUAUUUUUUCUAUAUAUCCAUAUUAAUAUGGGUGGUUUUGGACCGAAGAAAAAAACAUCAUCUAAAAGUUUUUCGUUAAAAUCAUAUAAUUCUUACCUAAUAUCAAUGUUUGUUAGCAAAAAGUAAAAGAAUUUAGGUAAGAAUGUUAUGUUUCUCUUUGAAUUUUAGUAACUUUUUCAAUGAAGUUGUGAUAUUAUAAAAUCUAGUCAUUUCAUGAAGUUCUAAAGGCAAACAAGCAUGCACCAAAUACUCUAGCUAAUACAACGUACGCCAUUCCAAACGUGCUAUUUUAUGGAUUUCAAAGUUAAACUUUGAAACAAUCUUUUAAUACGUUCUAAACACAAAUUAUUUAACAUAAAUCAUGGGCUAAUCAAGUCCAAACUUAAUAGAUCAAACUCAUCAUUCCAAAUGUCUCCUACAUAACUUGUAGAAAAUUUUAAGAUUUAGUUCGAAUAUAUUAAAUUCGAUGUUCCAAGUUGUUUUAACAAAAUUGAAAAACUUCACCAUUAUUUUGAGAUUUUUUUUUAUGAUUACAUCCUUUAAUUUAUUGAAUAAUUAUAAACAAUCUUGGUUUCAAGAGAAUUAUAUUUACGCAACGAUCAUUUGCAGAUGUUCAAAAUAUUUCUACCCUCAAUUAUACUUACAGAAAAACAUUUGUUGCACUUAUCUCUUCCAAACCAUAAUAGUUUUUAGGAAAAGAAAAAAGAGACAUGUUUAUGAAAGAAAAUUAGGCUACGAUGCUCAUUGUCGUGGAUAUGGAGCGCGUGACAACGGGUAUGGGAGGUGGAGGAGUUAGGGGUGGCUAUGGUGGUGGUAGCAAAUUGAAGAGAUGGUUAUGGUAAAUAGAGAGGUGUUCAUGGAGGAGAAUAUGAUAAUGGCAAAGGAAAUGGAGAAGAAGGAGGUUGUGAGGGUGGAUAUGCACUCAAAAUUAAUUCCAUCUGAUCAAAAGAGAAUUGAGAAACUUUUUUUUUUUUUUUGUAAGUAAUGAACCCAAUAUUCAUAUUAAUUGCACAACAAAAAAUAAAGAAAUUGGGUAAGAGAGAACGUUGUUUUCUAAAUCUUAUGGGUGGAAGGUUUGCAUGUUCGUGAAUGUAAAUAUCAAAUCAAUUUUUUAAUGAUAAGCAAAUUUGGAGUAAGUGUGCAUUUAUACUGUGACAAAUUGAAUCAACCACAUAUACGUUAUUUUGUUUUUCCAAUGAUAUUUAUUAUAUAAGAGGAUUUUAUCUCAAAAUCAAUCAACAAAUACGUGAAUAGUAAUACGUCAAUUUUAUAAACAAUAAUGAUGAUCUCUUGAAUUUUUCAUGUGAAAUUAUCAACAUUCUCCAUGUAUUGUUCUCGGUUAUUAUUUUUGUAACCAAAGUGUAAUCCUCCAAAAAAAUACAAAAUUGACAACCAAGAAAAUAACUAAAUUUUCAUUUAAAAAGAAAAAAGAGAAUAGCAUAUCAAAUAUCAAAUAGCCAUGCAAAAUAAGCUUAACUAGGGGAGAGGGAGUCUAUAAGUCAAAUUGCAUAGUCUAAACCAAGGCUAACAAAUGAAUGAUGAUCCUACGAUAAAAUAUCUUAAGUAGAUUGAUACAUAUGAUAUGUAGCAUCUUCACCGCAUCUAAGAACAAGAGUCGAUGUGUUAUCACAAAAAUAAAAUACAAAAGGGAAGUUUGGGAGAAAAUUAGAGUUAUAAUAAUGUUGAGAGAGAUCCAAUUAAUUAAUACUCUUAAAAUUUUAAGAGAUAAAUUUUUAUAUUUGAGAAUUUAAAUGUGUAAUUGCGACUAAUUAACCAAUCGUGUUGAUUUUUGCAAUUUACCUUUUUUUAUUAAAUUUUCAAGAAAAAAAUAUUUAAUGACGAUCAAAAUGAUCCAUGACGUACAUACAAUUAUUGUCAAACAUUCCAUGUUACUAAAAGAAAAUUGAAACUUUCUCCAACGUUAUAAAUAUUUUAUCCACUUUACUAUUUUUUUUAUUAUUUCCCUAAUUUUGAUUCAAUCAAUUUUCUAGCUAUCAACUACCAUUCUUUAAAAAAAAAUCAAAUAUACAAAAAUAAAAAAUUGUCAAUUUUCGUCCAAAAAAAUUUUAAAAUAAAAUUUGGAAUUUGGAAUAUGGUACCUUUUGGAAUAAGUUUUAAAGCCUUUGAUUAAAAAAAAAAAGUUGCUUCAACCAAAAUCAUUGUAAAUAAUGUUGAAAUUAUAAAAUUAUUAAAAAUAUUUAUAAAUAUAGACAAACUAAAAUUUUAGAAUCUACCGUUGAUGUAACUAAUAAACGUAUAUCAGCGUCUACCGAAUAUAUUCUAAAAAACGGUAAUAUUUUAUAAAUAUUUUAGUAUGUUUACCCUUUCACAAACUUAAUUAAAAUUAUAAUCCAAAUCAAAACCUAUCCAAACAAAUAUUUGGUGUAACUUAAGGGAUGAAUCGCACUAAUAUGACUCAAACAUAUUUUGAGAAACGUGUUUAAAAUGUGAUAAAUUUUUCCACAAUAUUUUAUAGCAAAUGGCAAAUAAUUUAAAGUUUCUUUGAAGCAAGAAUUAGGCAAAGAAGCAUGUAUAUAUAUACAUAUAAUGUAAUUAAAAUUUAUAUUAUAGUGAUGCAAAAUCGUUUCAUAAGCCACUUCAUCUCUCUCUGUUUCAUGGCAUCUUAAGUACACAAAAAGAGAAAAAGGGAAAAAGAGACCUAAUAUAAUAUGUGUUCUUUAAUUGGUGGAUUUUUAUUUAGCAUUAUUAAUUCAUCAAUCACCAAGAAUAUUUAUUCUCAACAAAGUUAUUGAAUGAUAUUAAAUUUACAAGAACUAAAUGAUAUAUCAUUUCGUUUCAUAUUAAAUUUUUGUAAGUUUAGAUAAUUUAUGAAAGUAGGUUUGUUAUGUUUAGGUUAACUAAACACAUACAUGUUAAAUUGAAUAUGUGUUUUAUCUUGGUCAAUUGUGCAAAGUGGAUCCGUGGCGCAAUGGUAGCGCGUCUGACUCCAGAUCAGAAGGUUGCGUGUUCGAUUCACGUCGGGUUCAAUGUCCAUUUUUUAUUUUAGUCAUUUGUGAUCACAAAUAAAUUUAAACCUCAUAAUCAUUGCAUUUUAGGUUAUUGUGUAAAGUUAUAAAACAUUACAAAGUGGAACAAGUAUUGAUAUGAUUUCGUUCCAAUUAUAAUUUAUUUUUAUAGUUUAAUGAGACAUACGAAAAAGCCAACACUUUAGUAUUUUGCCUCUUGAACUUUACUUAAGUUAUAUAUAAAAAAUUAAUAAUGUUGUUGACCACAUGCCUCCUCUUUAAUUGCCACUAAGGUACUACACUAUAGAGAAGAGCUAAUGAGUCCUUGUUUUCUAUAUAAGGAGAUGGAUGAAUGCAUUCUAAGCAUACAUUCCUAUCCAUGGCUAUCUCUAGAGUGUUGUGCAUUGGCUUUCUUCUUUUUGUAGGUUUAGGGUUAGCUUCGGCUACCCGAACUCUUCUUGAUUAUGAUCCACGUGCACGUCGUUAUGAUUACGAUCAUCCUACUCCAAGAGUAGGGUACGAUCCAAGUCAUCGUGAUCAAUCAUAUGAUAAUGCAUACAGUGGAAGUUCUAGUAAAGGAUAUGGAAUUGGAGACUCUACUCUUGGAGGUUCUGGACGAUAUGGAGGUGGCAAAGGACAUGAUUCCGGAUAUGGAGGUCGAAAUGAUGAUCGCAGUACUGGAUAUGGAGGUCGAAAUGAUGACCGCAGUGAUGGAUAUGGAGGUCGAAAUGAUGACCGCGGUGCUGGAUACGGAGGUCGAAAUGAUGAUCGCGGUGUUGGAUAUGGAGGUCGAAAUGAUGAUCGCGGUGUUGGAUAUGGAGGUCGAAAUGAUGAUCGUGGAGUUGGAUAUGGUAAUGGUGGUAGAUAUGGAAGUGUAGGAGGACAUGGUGAUGGUUAUGGUAACAAUGGUGGUGGAAGCUAUGGAGAUCGUUAUGGCCCUUCUCUUGGAGGUUCAGGAAAAGGAAGUAACAAUGGCUAUAACGAUCAUUCUCGUGGAAAUGGAGGACGUGACAGUGGCUAUGGAGAUUCACAUGGACAUGAAGGACGUGAGAGUGGAAAUGGAAGCGGUGGAGGAGUUAGUGGUGGCUAUGGUAAUGGAGGAGUACAUGGAGGAGAGUAUGAUAAUAGCAAAGGAAGUGGAGAAGAAGGGGGUAAUGAUGGUGGAUAUGCUGUCAAAAAUUCUAUCUCAAAGGAGAAUUGAGAAUUCCUCUUUUUCAAGUAAUGAACCCAAUAUCAUAUUAUGUUAACGAGAAAUAAAGAAAUUGGGUGAGAGAAUGUUGUGUUUUAAAUUUAUGUUGAAUUUUCUUUGAAUAAUUCGAAUCAAUAGGUACAAUGAUAAUCAAAUUUGGAUUAUGUUUGUUGUGACAAAUUGACUGUACCCUAUUUUGUUAUAUUUCUCUAUAGAUUUUUUUAUAUAUAUCCAUAUUAAUACGGGUGAUUUUGAACUGAAUCAAAUGACAUAAACAAAGAGAAAAAAAUAUUGUCUAAAAGUUUAUUUGUUAACACCUUAUAAUUCUUAGUAACUUUUUCAAUGAAUGUGUGAUAUUAUAAAAAUAAGUUGUUUCAUGGGAUUCCAAGGAUGGACAAAAGAUGCAUAAAAUACUCUAACUAAUAAAAUGUACACCAUUCCAAACGUGCUAUAUUUUAUGAUUUUCAAAGUUAAACUUUGAAACAAUCUUUUAACACCUUCUAAACACAAAUUAUUUAUCAUACAUGGUGGGCUAAUCAAGUCCAAACUAAUUAAUAGGUCAAACCCAUCAUUCCAAUUGUCUGCUACACGUAACUUAUAAAAAUUUUCAAGAUUUAGUUUGAAUAUUUUAAAUUCAAUGUUUCAAGUUUUUUUAACAAAAUUGAAAAAACUUCACCAUUUUCUUGAGAUUUUCUUAUUAUGAUUACAUCCUUUAAUUUGUUGAAUAAUUAUGUACGAUCUUGUUGCAAGAGAAUAAUAUAUAUAUAUUAUUAUAUUAUAUAUAUACAUACAUUCAUUCAUUUAGGUUUAUGUGGUUCAAAAUCUUUCUACCCUCAAUUAUACUUAAAAAGCAUUGGUUGCACUCUUCUCUUCCAAACCAUGAUAGUUUUUAGGAAAAAAAAGAAACAUGUUGAUGAAAGAGAAUUAGACUACGAUGAUCAUUCUCGUGGAUAUGAAGCGCGUGACAACGGAUAUGGGAGUGGUGGAGGAGUUGGUGGUGGCAGCGAAAAAGGUGGUUAUGGUAAUAGAGAGGUGUUCAUAAAGGAGAAUAUGAUAAUCGGAAAGGAAAUGGGGAAGAAGGAGGUUCUAAUGGUAGAUAUGCACUCAAAAUUAAUUUCAUCUAAUCAAAAGAGAAUUGGAAACUUUUUUUUAAGCAAUGAACCCAAUAUUCAUAUUAAUUGGGCAACAAAAAUAAAGAAAUUGGGUAAGAGACAACGUUGUUUUAUAAAUCUUAUAUGUCAUUAGUUUACUUUUUGGUGAAAGUAAAUAAUUUGGAUUAAGUAUGCAUUUGUAUUAGAACAAAUUGAAUCCAACCAUAUACACAUUAUUUUACUUUUUUAAUAAUAUUUUUUAUUAAAUUAGAUGGUUUUAUUUUAAAAUUAAUUGAUAAUUACGUGAAUAGUAAUAUGUAUAUCUUAUAAACAAUAAUGUUGAUCUCUUCAAUUUUUUAUAUGCAGAAUUAUCAACAUUCUCCACCUAAUGUUCUAGGUUAUUUUUGUAAUCAAAGUGUAACUCUCAGACAAAAACAAAAACGAAAAAACCAAGAAAAUAACUAAAUUUUCAUUUAAAAAGAGAAAAAAGAAUAGCAUAUCAAACAUCCAUCCAAAAUAAGCAUAAUUAAGGGAGAGGGGGCCUAUACGUCAAUUGCUUAGUCUAAACCAAGACUAACAAAUGCCUUGUCCUAUGAUAAAAUAUUUAUAUUUCAAAGAUACAUAUAUUUUCACUACAUCCAAGAUCAAGAGCCAUUGUAUUAUAACAAAAGAUUGUACAAAAGGGGAGUUGGGGAGAAACUUAGAGUCAUAAUGUUCAAAGAGAUCUAAUUAAUACUUGUAAAAUUUUAAGAGCUAAAAUUUUGUAACAGAGAUUGAGAGUGUAAUCGCAACAAAUAAUCAUACUUCAAUGGUUGAUUAAUUUAUCAAGAAAAGUUUUAAAAAAACAUUUAAUGACAGUCAACAUCAACCCUUUCACGUCAUUAAAAGAAAAUUGGAACUUUGCCCACAUUUCUUUAUUAUUUUGCUAUUAAAAAUUAAUUUUGAUUCAAUCAAUUUUUUAGUUAUCAACUACUAUUCUUAAAAAAAUAUAUAUAUAUACAAAAAUUACGAAAAAGAAAUAUUACUUCUCAAACAAGAAUCAUCUUAAAUAAUCAUCCUAUCCAUUUUAAAAAAUAUAUAUAUUUUCAAUAAAUUAAAUAAUAAAAUUAUUGAAAAUAUUUAUAAAUAUAACUAAAAUAAAACUCUAAAAUCGAUGGAGGAUGUAACUUAUGAAAGUCUAUUAGCAUCUAUCAUUAACAUAUUCUAAAAUAUUUUUGUAAAUAUAUUUUGUUUCAUUUUGCUAUACUUAAAAAUAACCUUCCACAAAUUUAAAACUCAAAUUAAUCAAAACCAAUCCCAACAAAUAUUUUGUAUAAUUUAUGCGAUGUGCAUAAAUACGCAUUUUCCCACCAUAUUUGAUAGCAAAUGGCAAAUUAUUUAAUGUUUGUUUGAAGCAAGAAUUAGGCAAAGAAGCAUAUAUCUAUAUAAUAUGUAACUAGAUCUUAUAUUAUAGUGAUGCAAAAUCGUUUCAUAAGGCACUUCAUAUCUCUCUGUCUCAUGGCAUCUUAAGUACACAAAAUGAGAAAAAGGGAAAAAGGGCCCUAAUAUAAUAUGUGUCCUUUAAUUGGUGGAAUUUUAUUUAGCAUUAUUAAUUAAUCAACCGUGUAAAAUAUGGUAGGAAGAAUUAUUCUAAUGAUGAAUGAAAAUUUUAGGUUGGGAGGUCCCAUAUAUGAAGCAUAUGAGAAAUUUUCAAUCUUAAAAGAGUGAAUUAUCAAAUUAAAUUUACAUGAACGAAAUGAUAUAUCAUUUGGUUUGUAUUAAGUUUGUUUAAGUUUAGAUGAUUUACGAAAAUAGGUUUGUUAUGUUUAGGUUGACAAAACGACACUGUAUUUAGAUGAUGGUGUAAAUUUUAACAUGUUAAACAUGUGUUUUAUCUUGGUUUAUUGUGAUCUAAUACAAAUAAAUAUCGUUAUUGAAUUUUAGGUUAUCGUGUAAAGUUGUAAAAUAUUACAAAGUGGUGCAAGUGGGAAAAUGGGAUCAAAAGGAGAGUAUUGAUAUGAUUUCGUUCCAAUUAUAACUUAUUUUUUUAGUUUAAUGAGACAUAGGAAAAAGCCUACACUUUAGUGUUUUGCCUCUUGAACUUCCUUUGAGCUAUAUAUCCAAAAUUAAUAAUGAUUUUUUAGCACGUGUCUCCUCUUUAAUGGCCUCUAAGGUACCACACUAUAGAGAAGAGCUAAUGAAUCCUUGUUUUCUAUAUAAGGAGAUGGAUCCAUGCAUUCUAAGCAUACAUUCCUAUCCAUGGCUAUUCCUAAAGUGUUGUGCAUUGGCUUUCUUCUUUUUGUGGGUUUAGGGUUAGCUUCGGCUGCCCGAACUCUUCUUGAUUAUGAUCCACGUACACGUCGCUAUGAUUACGAUCAUCCUACUCCAAGAGUAGGGUACGACCCAAGUCAUCGUGAUCAAUCCUAUGAUAGUGCAUACAGUGGAAGUUCUAGUAAAGGAUAUGGAGUUGGAGACUCUGCUCUUGGAGGUUCUGGACGAUAUGAAGGUGGUGGAGGACGUGAUUCCGGAUAUGGAGGUCGAAAUGAUGAUCAUGGUGUGGGAUAUGAAGGUCGAAAUGAUGGUCGUGGUGCUGGAUACGGAAGUCGAAAUGAUGAUCGCAGUGCUGGAUAUGGAGGUCGAAAUGAUGAUCGUGGUGCUGGAUAUGGAGGUCGAAAUGAUGAUCGUGGUGCUGGAUAUGGAGGUCGAAAUGAUGAUCACGGUGCUGGAUAUGGAAGUCGAAAUGAUGAUCAUGGUGCUGGAUAUGGAGGUCGAAAUGAUGAUCGUGGGGUUGGAUAUGGUAAUGGUGGUGGAUAUGGAAGUGUAGGAGGACAUGGUGAUGGUUAUGGUAACAAUGGUGGUGGAAGCUAUGGAGAUCGUUAUGGCCCUUCUCUUGGAGGUUCGGGAUAUGGAAGUGGAGGAAAAGGAAGUGGCAAUGGCUAUGAUGAUCAUUCUCGUGGAAAUGGAGCACGUGACAAUAACUAUGGAGAUUCUCACGGACAUGAAGGACGUGACAGUGGAUAUGGAAGUGGUGGAGGAGUUAGCGGAGGCUAUGGCAAUGGAGGAGUUCAUGGAGGGGAGCAUGAUAAUAGCAAAGGAAGUGGAGAAGAAGGGGGUAGUGAUGGUGGAUAUGCUUUCAAAAAUUCCAUCUCAAACAAGAAUUGAGAACUCUCUUUUAAGCAAUGAACCCAAUAUCAUAUUAUGUUAAAGAAAAAUAAGGAAAUUGGGUAAGAAUGAAUAAUGUUGUGUUCUAAAUGUAUGUUGAAUUUACUUCAAAUGAAUGCUAAAUUUGAAUCAAUGAAUUAUGUUUGGAUUAUGUUUGUUGUUACAAAUUGAUUCCACCUUUCUUUUUGUUUUGUUUCUCUAUACAUUUUUCUAUAUAUCCAUAUUAAUAUGGAUUGAUUUUGGACCGAAUCGAAUGACAUAAUAAUCUAUGCCAAAUAAGAGUAAAACCACAUAGCCAAGAAAAUGAUAAGAGUAAAAGGAAAAAUAGUAUGUACAAUGUAAGACAAAUAAUUGUGUCUAGGAGAAGAGGGUGUUACUCAAGCCAAUGCAUUUAACCUCGACAAGACUCAACCUCAAGUUGAGCCUAACAAAAUGUCUAGUUGGGCAUACCCUUGUCAAAAUGCAUCACUUUAAUUAAGACUAAAAUAAACAUAUAGAGAAGGGAGUUUGAGCUUGAUAGGUCGAGACCAAUCCUAGCAGAAUAUUAAACAGAACUUGCCCUUCACAUGCCUCAACCUAAGUGAGUUGAAAAGGUUAUCGUAUCGUACCUCCAAAACUCUAUUCGGACAUAACCUAACUAAUUAACUAGGUUUAUUUAAUUCUACAAAUAAAUCAUUAGAGCUCUACAGAAACAAACUCUAUUCUCACUCAAUUUCUUUGACAUUUUUCAACUCUCUCUAAAAGCCAAAUAGGCACAACCCUAAAUCCUUACAUCUUCAAACCCUGUGUUUUAAUUACUAUGGAUAAAAGAGAACACAAAUCAAAUUUUACUUUCUUAUAUUUAGAUCAUAUUUCUUUUGAAAUUCAAAGUAAUGGAUAACACAAUAUGCUUCCAUUUCUAAUUUAAAUGAAAAUUUCAACAUUCCUAAUUACUGAUUUAUUUACACAAAAUAGCCCAAAGUAAAUAACUAUAAGUGAGUUUUCUUUACUAUUAUUUUGGUGAGUGAAGAUACUAUGAGUUUUUAUAUCACUAAAAUGUGAUAAUUUUUCCAACCAUUAUUGUAUUAGCAAAUGGGAAAUAAAUUAUUUAAUAAUGUAUCUAUAAAGUGGGAAGAAUUAGGGAAACAAAAUGCAUAAUUAAAUAUGUAAAAAAACUAUAGUAAUGCUAUGUCGUUUCAGAAACCAUUUGAAGAGUUAAGGAAAAAAGAGGGGAAAAAAAGCUCUAAUAUAAUAUAUGCUCUUUAGUCCUUUUUCUUAAAAAAAAAUUAAUGCUCUUUAAUUAGUUUGAAAUAGCCAUAUAAAUUAAAUAUCUUCCUAAAAGGAAAGAUGGGUUCUCAAGAAAAAAUAUAUUUCAAUGCUUCUUUUUCUUUUUCUUUUUCUUAAUCCUUGUUGAUGAAGAGAAUUCAGGCUUAAAAAUGGAGAAUUUCAUAUUUUCUAAUAUUUUACACUUUUUUCAACCUCAUAAACAAAUUUUGAUUAAAUGGUUGUAGUAAAGAUACUUUUCUUUUUUUUUCACCAAAAACAGCUUUAUUUUAUUUUAAUCUUCUGUCAUAUUUGUAUCGAGAAAAUUAAAUAAAUACUAUUUUUUUUCAAUAUAUUUAAUUUCGUUUUAAAAUAAAGGGAAAAUCCCUAGAAAUCAUCACUUUUCUCUUCUUCUUUGAAGACCCUCUUCUUUUAUGGUAUAACUUUCAUUAGUUGUUCUUAAUAUGCUUCUUUUAACUUUAACUGUCAAAUAUAUAUAUACACAUACAACGAUAAUUUAUCCUUAAUAUCAGAUAUAAAGUUUUUUUUAUGCAUGGCUCUAAUCCAAAAGACUUCAAAAAAAAAAUUACCAAAAUGUAAAUCGAUGAUGAGAAAUUAAAAAAUUGAUAUGGCUAAUGUUUAAUAAGCUAGAUUGAUUGAUAAGUUACUCAUCCCACAAUUACUUGAUUUUGAGAUGAAACGUCAAGUUAUCUAAUAUUAUAUCGUAACUCGCGAAAACAUAAACGAACAUUCAGAUCAAAAAAAUAAAUAUUGGAGUCCAAUUCAAGAAUGAUGAACCCAAAGAGAGACAUCAUUUAUCAAUGGUGUGUAUACUAGCCAAGGAUCUUAUCAUGCUAGAAUAAUUGAGGGACCUUUUAUGUUUAUAUAUAAGAUGUAUAUGUUUCUUCUCUUAUAUUUUAUAUUGGUUUUAAGAUGUAAAGCUCAUGUUAUCUAAUAUAUGAUGUCGGUUGUUCGAAAAUUCGAUGUAAAAAUAGUAAAUAAUCGAAAGAAGCACGGAUCCCAAAAGGACAUAUCAAGGAAACCUCACACCAUGCAUCUUUAUAAGUCCCUCACACCAUGCAUUCAAAAACUAUAAUUGAGGGACCUCACACCAUGUCAUGCAUCUUUAUAACGUCAAUCAUACAUAUCUAUUAUUAAUUUCCUCUCAUAUGGCUCAUGAUAUACUACGUGUAACAAUUUUUCAUUGCCAAGAAAUUUCCAAAUUGUAAUAGUGGUAAGUUAUGAAAUGAUUUUCUUACAAAUAUCUUCAUAGAUAAAUUAAUAAUAAAACAUCAUGUGUGAACGGCAGAAUCCAAUUGACUGAAAAAUCAUUUUGGAGUAAUAUUAUCGGUUGUGAGCACAAUCCUUUGAUCUAUUUGGUGGGAAAGAAACAGUAGAACCUUUACUUGAGAAGCUAUAAUUCUUACAUUUUUAUUAAUUAUCAUAUUACUUCGUCUUUAUUUUAAAAAUAUUCAUACAAGACAUGAGAGAUUAGCAUAGGCAUUCAAAUAUCAAUACCUUUGAACAAAAAAGCUUUUCCUUGGCCCUAAAAAAGUUGUACAACAAUUAACAAAACACUCCAAUAUUAAGGUUAAUAGGAAGAAUGCCUAAACUUAACUAUAAAAAUUGUUUGGAACUACAAAACUAAGCAAACUAAGGUGGCUAAACUCAACAUGAAAAUAAAGAAGAGUAAUUUAAACUUAGAUAUUUAUUCAUGUCACCUAAACUUUUAAAGUCGUUUUUGAUUGCAUGCUCCUCUAAACUUUAUCAAAUCUUGCGAGAUCAUGUAAGGGGAAAGAUGGAAUCAACUUAGCCUUACUUUAAUUUAAUAUGUUUUAGUACCACAUGUCAACAUAAAAUAAAGAAAUUAGGUUAGAGAGAAGGUUGUGAUCUAAAUCUAAGUACAUUAAUUAAUGUCAAAUUUCAAUCCAUGUUUGAAUGAUAAACAAAUUUGGAGUAAAGAAUAUUACUCAACCAUACAUAAGUAAGACUUCAACUCUAAUUGAAAGGGGCUGACAAGUAUAGUUACUCCUAAACUGUCUACAAAUAUUAAAUAUUAUAUGAAGACAAUAAAGUUAAGGGGAGUUCGAGUCCCCUAGACCUAUACUAAAUCCGUCGGUCAUGGUGAUGGUGCACAACACUCAAUUGUUCAACACAACUAUGAUGAAUUUUUUUGUUUGUUGGGAGAGAAAACACUAAUAUGUUUUAUUUCAUUAAAAUGUGAUAUUUUUGUCCCAUGAUUAUUGUAUAGAGAAAUGGGAAAUUAUAUAUAUAGUGUAAGCUUCAAGUGGGAAUUAGGAAACACAUGCAUAAAUAUAAAGUUACGAUAAUUAUAGUAAUGCAAUGUCGUUUCAGAAGCCCAUUAUUCAUCCUCUCAAUUAUCUCAUGCAUGGUGGCUCUCAUCAAGUUGAGAAAAAGGAAAAAAAAUAGGCCUAAUAAAAUAUAUGUUCUUUGUUUCUUGGUAACCAUUGUAAAUUAAUCGUAAUAUAAAUAUCUUCUAAAAGAGAAAAAAAGAAGACUCUCAAGACAAAUUAUCAUGCUUCGUCAAUCCUCUUUUUUUUUUUUUUUUUUUUCCUCAAUCUUUAAUGAUAGAAGAAAAUUUUAGCUCAAUAAAAUUGAAAUUUUUGUAUUUUAAAAAAUUUAUGAUGUUUUUUAACACGUGUAUAUAUAUAUAAUGAACAAUAUAACAAAAUAUCACAUUAAGUUUUACUAUAUAUUUAUAAAUAUUUUUUUAAUUAAUUUUUUCACUUAAUUUAAAAAUAUUUUUUCUAUAUAAAUAUUAUUAAUAAAGAACAAUUACAUUAGCUUCUCUUUUUACGUAUAACUCUUACUUUGGAUUGAACUUUUAACUCUUGAAAAGAGCAUUAGUGAGCCAAUUAAUUCACUUUGACUACAUAACUUUCUUUAGUUGCUUAAUAUAUUUGUUUUGGUGUUAAACUAUCAUUAUAACAGAACAAUUAGGAUAGUUUUCAUUUUCGUGUAUAACGUUUUUCUAUGGUCGAUAUCUAAGGAAAUAAUCAAAAAAACAAAUGUACUUACAAUAAAUUUCAUUGUGUCAUAAAAUGAAAUUUCCAAAUUAUGUAAGUGUUAAGUUGUAAAAGUUGAUAAUCAAAUUUCAAUGUGAAAUUAUAUAUUUUGGAAAUAUCUGCACCAUAGACAAAAAUUAAUAAACAAACUUCUCAAAAUUAAGUGUGUUAAUUAUAAGAGAAUGCCUAAACUUAACUAUAAAAAAAUAAGUUGGAGCCAAAACUAAUUAGCUAAAAUAUUAAGGUGAAUUUAUCACAAAAAGUACAAACAAGUGAAGUAAGGUGGUGUUGCAUAAAGCCUACUGAUUUUCAACUUUGGCUUUCUAAAUUUGAGCUCCUCACGUUUUCACACAAAAGCUUCUCACAACCUUUGAAUAAGAUCCUCUCAAAAGAACAUCAACUACUGAUGUAUUAAACUAAUAAAGAGCCAGCCUAGUUUACUUGACUACUAGUAACAUCCUCAACAGUGACGUACAUUUAAUUUCACAAACAGUGCGUAAGGAUUAAGGUUAAACAAUCUCUCAAAACAUGCACACACAGUAUUUUUAACAGAGCUAAUUAACCCUAAAAAUAAACAAAACUCAUAAUAUAUAUGGAAGCUGAUCUUGAGCAGAUAGGAAAAAAGAUUAUCAAAAAGAAUAGAAAAACAAAUUAAAUCAGCAGGUUUAAUUUUCCCUACACGGUUCAAUAGAUUAAGAAAAAAAUCUUGAUACAAAAUUCGAAGGAGAAAUAUAGAUUUUGACAGAAAAUGUUACAAAACAAGUUGCUCAAGUUUUGCUUGUAACAAAAUCCGCCAAUCGUAGUACAGUAACACAUAAGCAACUAAAAUGACUGAUCUCAACAAGAAUGGAAACACUAGAUAUGUUACAAGAGAACAUGCAUAAAUACAGUUUGGUCUAAUUAAAAAAACAGUGUCUUAGAUAACACAAGAAGGUAGAAAAAUAGAUGAGAGAGUAAUCAAACUUAGCUGACAAAUAUGGAUAUUAAUGAAUUUCACCUGAACUUUAUAUAGUUUUUCUUUACUCUUCUCUAAAUCUUACCAAAUAUUGCAAGAUCGUGUAAGUGGACAAUGGAAUAAUCGUAAUAAUCAAUUGAAGCCUUACAUAAAAUAUCGAUGUGUUUUAGUACCAAAAUCGAACUUUAGUUAGUACCUAAUAUGACAAAAGGCCUCACUACGUAGUAUUUUGCCUCAUGGACAUCCAUGGAGAAGUUGAUGAACCCACCACUUUUUUUAAACAUAUGACACCCUCUUUACCGUGAAGGACACCAUAGAGAAGUUGAAGAGACCCUCCACCCAUUUCCUAUAUAAAGAGAUCAAUGCAUGCAUUUUCUUGGCAUUCUACUCAUUCUCUAAUUCUCUCCAUGGCUAUCCUUAGAGCACUGUGCCUUGCCUUUCUUCUCUUUGUACGGUUAGGUUUAGCUUCGGCUACUAGAACUCUUCUUGAUUAUGAUCCACGUACACUUCAAUAUGGCUAUGAUCGUCCUAGUCCAAGAGUAGGGUAUGAUCCUGGCCAUGGGGAUGAAUCCUAUGAUAAGGCAUACGGUGGAAGCUCUAGUAGAGGACAUGGAAUUGGAGACUCUGCUCUUGGAGGUUCUGGAUACGAAGGUGGUGGAAGACACGAUUAUGGAUAUGGAGAUCGACAUAAUGAUCGUGGGGUUGGAUAUGGUAAUUAUGGUGGUGGAUAUGGAGGUGUAGGAGGACAUGGUGAUGGUUAUGGUAACAAUGGUGGUGGAAGCUAUGGAGAUCGUUAUGGACCUUCUCUUGGAGGUUCAGGAUAUGGAAGUGGAGGAAAAGGAAGUGGCAAUGGCUAUGACGAUCAUUCUCGUGGAAAUGGUGCACGUGACAAUAGCUAUGGAGAUUCUCAUGGACAUGGAGGACGUGACAGUGGAUAUGGGAGUGGUGGAGGAGUUACUGGUGGCUAUGGUAAUGGAGGAGUGCAUGGAGGAGAGUAUGAUAAUAGCAAAGGAAGUGGAGAAGAAGGAGGUUAUGAUGGUGGAUAUGCUGUUAAGAACUCCAUCUCAAAGGGAAAUUGAGAAACCCUUGGCUUCUUUUUCUUAUUAUACUAUGCCAGCUAAAAUAAAAAUAUGGGGUAAGGGAUCAAGAAUAUUGUUAUCUAAAUCUAUGUUUGAGUUGCUCUUGUAAUGAAUGUAAUUAAUGAUAUAAACAAAAUUUGGAUUACAUUUUGUAUGAACCAAGUGAUUGGACCAUAUACACUUCUAUUCUUAUUAACUUUGAUUUGAGUAACACAAGCAAUAAUUAAACUUUUUUAUUUAUGACUAAUUUUAAAACUUGGGUUAAUAAUGAUGCAAUAUACAUGAAGAUGUGGGAAGAGAAAGGUAUACAGAGUGUGGUGCUCACCCCACACUCAAACUUUGAUGAAUUCCUUUUUUAUUUUCUUUUUACAUAGUUUUAAAAUAACUUGACAUUUACUUCACAAGACUAAUAUCCUUUUCUAAUACUCAUUUAAAUAGUUUUUGUCAUGACGAGAUGGAUCCCAGAGUUGAUUAGUUUUAAAAUUUUACCUUUUCUAAUAUGACAAUGCUAUAAUCUUAAAUCGGUUUAGAAAAUCUAUUUUAGUAAUUGGAAACUCCUUUAGAUUUUUUUAAAUUCAUAUAAUCGUGAAAAUAUAAAUUAUGCAGAAGAGGUUUAGAAAACAAAAUUCAUGCAAUAGCCAAAUUUGCACUUCCUUUGCUAUUAUCAUACUCUCCUAUUUUUUUGUGAUUUUUCAUUUUUAACUAUAAUUUUACAUAUAUGUGCAUAUCAUAUAUAUAUAUUGGACAUGGUGCAUAAGCACUUUGAGAUUUAUAUAUCUCUCUAUAAAACGUGAUCAUUUUCCCUCCAUUAUUAAUUAUAGUAUUAUGAUAUCAAAUGGAAUAGAUUAUGUCUCAAGGUGGGAAUUAAUUAUAUAUUUAGCAUUGUAAAUGCAAAGUAGUUUGAGAAAACCCAUUUCUUCAUCUCAAUGAUCUAAAUGACAUAAACAAAGAGAAAAAUAGUAAUAAUUAAACCUAAUAAAUGU